RNAcentral lists this ribosomal RNA (839 nucleotides) under Campylobacter coli. RNAcentral's name for it is "bacterial SSU rRNA". It matches the Rfam family "Bacterial small subunit ribosomal RNA", at positions 694 to 1533 of the family's 1533-position model. RNAcentral also lists the same sequence under 1 other name. The record is from RNAcentral. Lineage: Bacteria; Pseudomonadati; Campylobacterota; Epsilonproteobacteria; Campylobacterales; Campylobacteraceae.
AUAUCACCAAGAAUACCCAUUGCGAAGGCGAUCUGCUGGAACUCAACUGACGCUAAGGCGCGAAAGCGUGGGGAGCAAACAGGAUUAGAUACCCUGGUAGUCCACGCCCUAAACGAUGUACACUAGUUGUUGGGGUGCUAGUCAUCUCAGUAAUGCAGCUAACGCAUUAAGUGUACCGCCUGGGGAGUACGGUCGCAAGAUUAAAACUCAAAGGAAUAGACGGGGACCCGCACAAGCGGUGGAGCAUGUGGUUUAAUUCGAAGAUACGCGAAGAACCUUACCUGGGCUUGAUAUCCUAAGAACCUUUUAGAGAUAAGAGGGUGCUAGCUUGCUAGAACUUAGAGACAGGUGCUGCACGGCUGUCGUCAGCUCGUGUCGUGAGAUGUUGGGUUAAGUCCCGCAACGAGCGCAACCCACGUAUUUAGUUGCUAACGGUUCGGCCGAGCACUCUAAAUAGACUGCCUUCGUAAGGAGGAGGAAGGUGUGGACGACGUCAAGUCAUCAUGGCCCUUAUGCCCAGGGCGACACACGUGCUACAAUGGCAUAUACAAUGAGACGCAAUACCGCGAGGUGGAGCAAAUCUAUAAAAUAUGUCCCAGUUCGGAUUGUUCUCUGCAACUCGAGAGCAUGAAGCCGGAAUCGCUAGUAAUCGUAGAUCAGCCAUGCUACGGUGAAUACGUUCCCGGGUCUUGUACUCACCGCCCGUCACACCAUGGGAGUUGAUUUCACUCGAAGCCGGAAUACUAAACUAGUUACCGUCCACAGUGGAAUCAGCGACUGGGGUGAAGUCGUAACAAGGUAACCGUAGGAGAACCUGCGGUUGGAUCACCUCCUUUCUA